This 694-nucleotide ribosomal RNA is filed under the name gamma proteobacterium HPC1169. Its description in RNAcentral is "bacterial SSU rRNA". It matches the Rfam family "Bacterial small subunit ribosomal RNA", at positions 68 to 763 of the family's 1533-position model. Lineage: Bacteria; Pseudomonadati; Pseudomonadota; Gammaproteobacteria. The record is from RNAcentral.
UCCGGCCGGGACCUUGCUCUCUGGGUGGCAGUGGCGGACGGGUGAGGAAUACAUCGGAAUCUACUCUGUCGUGGGGGAUAACGUAGGGAAACUUACGCUAAUACCGCAUACGACCUACGGGUGAAAGCAGGGGACCUUCGGGCCUUGCGCGAUUGAAUGAGCCGAUGUCGGAUUAGCUAGUUGGCGGGGUAAAGGCCCACCAAGGCGACGAUCCGUAGCUGGUCUGAGAGGAUGAUCAGCCACACUGGAACUGAGACACGGUCCAGACUCCUACGGGAGGCAGCAGUGGGGAAUAUUGGACAAUGGGCGCAAGCCUGAUCCAGCCAUACCGCGUGGGUGAAGAAGGCCUUCGGGUUGUAAAGCCCUUUUGUUGGGAAAGAAAUCCAGCUGGCUAAUACCCGGUUGGGAUGACGGUACCCAAAGAAUAAGCACCGGCUAACUUCGUGCCAGCAGCCGCGGUAAUACGAAGGGGUGCAAGCGUUACUCGGAAUUACUGGGCGUAAAGCGUGCGUAGGUGGUUAUUUAAGUCCGUGGGGAAGCCCUGGGCUCACCUGGGAACUGCAGUGGAUACUGGAUGACUAGAAUGUGGUAGAGGGUAGCGAAUUCCUGGUGUAGCAUGAAAUGCUAAAGAUCAGGAGGAAAUCCUUGGGGAAGGCGGCUACCUGGACCACAUUGAACUGAGGCACAAAGCCUG